UUCCGUAGGGUGAACCUGCGGAGGGAUCAUUACCGAGUCUAAACAACUCAUCAACCCUGUGAACAUACCUAAAACGUUGCUUCGGCGGGAACAGACGGCCCCGUGAAACGGGCCGCCCCCGCCAGAGGACCCCCUAACUCUGUUGCUAUAUGUAUCUUCUGAGUAAACAAGCAAAUAAAUUAAAACUUUCAACAACGGAUCUCUUGGCUCUGGCAUCGAUGAAGAACGCAGCGAAAUGCGAUAAGUAAUGUGAAUUGCAGAAUUCAGUGAAUCAUCGAAUCUUUGAACGCACAUUGCGCCCGCCAGUAUUCUGGCGGGCAUGCCUGUUCGAGCGUCAUUACAACCCUCAGGCCCCCGGGCCUGGCGUUGGGGAUCGGCGAGGCGCCCCCCGCGGGCACGCGCCGUCCCCCAAAUACAGUGGCGGUCCCGCCGCAGCUUCCAUUGCGUAGUAGCUAACACCUCGCAACUGGAGAGCGGCGCGGCCAUGCCGUAAAACACCCAACUUCUGAAUGUUGACCUCGAAUCAGGUAGGAAUACCCGCUGAACUUAAGCAUAUCAAAAGGCCCGGAGGAA
This is a ribosomal RNA of 573 nucleotides. The stretch from base 184 to 337 matches the Rfam family "5.8S ribosomal RNA".